CUCUACAUUAAUAGUAGAGAAACAAAAUGGGAUUUAGGAUUGAAGCGGUUCUUCAUGAAAACUAUUAUGUAGAAAAACUUCUCUAGGUACAAAAUUCUUUUGUUCAACAAAGAGAUUGAUCUAUAAAAUUUUCUCAUUCUCCACAGUCCACACGAAGUCCAAAUACAAUAAAGAUAUUUAGUUAGUGGGAUUUGACUAUAUUUCCGAGGGAGACCAAGUUCGACUUGGGGCAAUUACUUUGGUGGGUUUAGCUGGAGACUGAUUGGUGCAUGUACAUCAUAUCCAUUGUUGAUUACAUGUGUGGCCUGGACACCCCCAUUCGGUUCACUUCCGCAUCCUUGCUUAGAAAUCUGGAAUAGUCAUGGGACCUGAACAUUCAGGUCGCGUGAGAUUGUAUGGACGAGGGGUUACCAAGACUGUAUUAAAAGGGCAAAAAGGGAAUCUUGGAUCUUCUUUAGAUGCUACUGAUGAGAGGAUGCAGCAGAAAAUGGAGGAAAUGGAGGAGAGGAUGCAACAAAGAAUGCAUGAAAUGUUGAACGAACAAAAGGAUGCUAUAGAACAAAAUAUUACAAUGAACGUCAUCGCACGACUUCAGCGUUUGAACCCAGAUUUGCGACUUGAUCCUGACAUGUUAAGGUUCAAUGCACGUUCACCUGUAGAAGCUUCCUCUGCAGACAAGCUGAUGUUCAACUAAACAGUCGACCAUCUGCUGGUAGUAAAAAUCAAGGCUAGUACGUACCAAAUGUUAUACAUCUUCGUCUAUUUCUUCUUCUUCUCCUCCUUCCUUGCUUGGGAUUUUGGUUUGGUCAAGUCUGAGUGGAUAUGGUAAUAUCCUUUUUUCUUCCUAUAGAUGUGCCUAUUUCGGUAUUAUUGGUAUCCAACUUCUCUGUGACAGACUGAGAGUCAAUGGUUGAGGUUGUAGUUGUGGUUGGGACUUGGGACUUAUGUGUCAAACUUGGUUGUCUUGUUUGGGGUUCCUGCUUUUUCGGGCAGUGCACUUUAAGGGUGUAAAGUAGGUUGAGUUUGAGUUUCCUUAUGGGAAAUGAUUACUCUGUGUAGACAAAUCAGUUGUCAGGAACUCCUCAACGAAACACGAUUUGAAUUUGGAAUGGAUUUGAAUUUAUUCUUAUUUCCUUUUUUGGUGGCUGGCUCCUGCCGGAGUUCAUUGAACUGAUUCAUUGAUUCUUGAAGUUUUUUCCUCAAACCAUUCACAACAGAAGUUCUUGUUCUUUAAGAAGAACUACCAGGGCCACAACCAGCUAUACUUCUAUUAGCAGCAUUAGAUCUGUCUAAAGCUUCUAAACGGACUUUAAUAAAUUUGGCUUUUUUCAAAGCUAUUGAAAUAUCAUUAUCCAUCUUUGUUCUAACAUCUUUGACAGUUUUUGCAUUGUACAGAGUCUUGCUCUGUUUGUGUGAGUUGUGGAGUUGAGAGUGAAGCUUUUCAAGUUGUUUAAGCUCGUCUUUUAUAGCUUCUACAUCUUCAAAAAGCUUGUCAAGACUCUUUGAAUUAUUCUAAAGUUGUUCAAGCUCGUCUUUUAUACUUAAUAUGGAGCAAUACAAUUAAAAAUAUUUCUCAAAACUUUCUCCUUUACCUACUACAACUAUGCAUACCAUUCUUUUCUUUUCUACUAACCUAAAAUUAUUACAAUAUAAUAGGACAUAAACAUAGGCCAAAAUUACAAAACCUUCUAAAUCAAGAUGCUAAUACAAACUAAACACUAUGUACAAGUUCAAUACUAUCUUUUUUAGAGUCCUAAUCUUCUGUCUUUUGUACCUGAAUAGGCUUGAAAGUAUAGAAUUUUGCACAAAACAGAUAGUAAAUCAAGUUAAUCACUUGUAUAAUUGUGAUUAACCAAUAAAAAAUACUCUAAUUUUCCCUUUCUCAAAUUAUUAUCAGGUAACCAAUUUGAUCCUCCAGAUCCUGAAGUAAAUUUAUGCACUAAUGAAACCCAAAGUGUACUCAGAUAAUUCCCAGCUGAAAUUGAUGUCCAGAAUAAUGCAGUAGCUGUACUUCUCAUACUCUCUGGUGCUUUAUCAUAGAAAAAUUCAAGAUGUCCAAUUGACAUAAAUGUCUCAGCCACACCAUGUAAGCAAUACUGAGGCACUAGCCAAAAUACUGAAAUGGGAACAAUCGCCUUACCUUUA
Molecule: long non-coding RNA, 2145 nt
Organism: Nicotiana tabacum (common tobacco)
Lineage: Eukaryota; Viridiplantae; Streptophyta; Magnoliopsida; Solanales; Solanaceae
Source: RefSeq, a predicted model, not a curated record